Rattus norvegicus (Norway rat) is the source of this 1694-nucleotide long non-coding RNA. RefSeq lists it as uncharacterized. The record is from RefSeq and is a predicted model, not a curated record. NCBI's taxonomy places the organism in Eukaryota, Metazoa, Chordata, Mammalia, Rodentia, Muridae.
AGGGGCAGAGCCACCUCCUUUGAGUAGAAGACCCAGGAACACAGAUAGAACCGUCUUGUAUAGUGUUUGAAAAUACGCGAGUGUCAUCGAUUUUUACAUACAACUCACGUCACAAAUACAAGAAAUGCGUGUUGAGCACCUUGAUUAUUCCACCUGCAGAAAAAGAAAAAAGAAAAAAUAUUCAAAGCCUCAGCAAGUCCAAUUAAGGUUGAACUCUUCGACAAGAGUGGUGUUGUGCCUGUACCAAACAGCUAAGUGGCUAUGGAACUCGGCUUCUGCUUGGGGUUUUAGGAAGUUAGUCCCAAAGCUACCUAAAUGAACUGGGCCAAAACAAAAUGAGUAAGACACUGAAGAGUGGUUUUCGGGUGUGGCUUCAAAACAAAUAUCUCUGUUAAAUAUGUCAAACAUGAUUACAAGGCUACAUGAAGCCACAGGGUGUGGGCUUUCAUUCUGGAGAGGUAGAGAUAAUCUUUAUGAAGAUUUCAAAUUGUGCUACAGAGCAGCUUAAAGGGCACCUGUUCAGAGAGCCCUAUUCUCAUACCCAAAUGUAAAUCUGAAGGUCAUUCUGUUUCUCCUAUAAUUUAGACAUUUUUCUGUAUAUUUUACUGUGGUCUUAGAUUUGAAUUAUGCUUUUUUUUUAAUUUUUCAAAAGAGUGGGCUGGUGAGAUGGCUCAGUGGUUAAGAGCACUGACUGCUCUUCUAGAGGUCCUGAGUUCAAAUCCCAGUAGCCACAUGGUGGCUCACAACCAUCUGUAAUGAAAUCUGAUGCCCUCUUCUGGUGUGCCUGAAGACAGCUACAGUGUACUUAUGUAUAAUAAAUAAAUAAAUCUUUAAAAAAAAAGUAACUUCUGUAUGUAGCCUUUGCUGUCCUGGAAGUCACUCUGUAGACCAGGCUGGCCUCAAAACUGACAAGAAUCUGCCUGUAUCUGUCUCCUGAGUGCGGGUGUGAAAGGCAUGCACCACCAUAGCACAGCUGUAAUUUAGACUUUUUAAUGGUGUUCAUCUGUUGUACAAAGUAAGGUGUUUCAUUAUGACAUUUUCUUUUUCUUUUUUUCUUCUCUCGUUUCUUUUUGUUUGGUUGGUUGGCUGGUUAGCAGUUUUUGUUUGUUUGUUUGUUUGUUUGUUUGUUUCUGUGUAGACGGGGCUGGCCCGGAACUCAAGAGAUCUGCCUGCUUCAGCCUCCUGAGUACUUGAGAACUGGGAUUAAAGGCAUGUACCUCCAUCACCCAGCUACGUUAUGGCAUUUGCAUAAGAGCAUAUCUCGUGCUCUGAAAUAAUAUUACUCCCCUUCCCCUUUUUCUUUUUAUAUCACUAGUUUGAAUUUCCUACAGAAUGCUCACCAUUUGGUUACCGUGUCACCAAUUCUGCCCAAACUCUGUAAAGCCUUGUGUACACCUGACUCAGGGACUCCUUUAACAGCAGGUUGUAAUGGUGAGAACCCCUGAGAUUGCGUUGUUGGUGCCAUGGUCAGGUGAAGCUCAAUGGCAGACUCAGGGGCAGAAGUCCAGUUAUCAACUAAGGCUUCUCAUGCCAGGUGGCAUGUCGCAGACUUUUAAUCCCAGCAUUUACCAGUCAGAGGAAGGUGGCAGAUCUGAGUUUGAGGCCAGCCUGGGCUACAGAGCGAGUUUCAGGACAUCCAGGACUACACAGAGAAACCCCGUCUUGAAAAACAAAAUUAAAAAAAAAAAAAAGAU